GUAUAAGAGACAGCAGUAGCCGCGGUAAUACAGAGGGUGCGAGCGUUAAUCGGAUUUACUGGGCGUAAAGCGUGCGUAGGCGGCUUCUUAAGUCGGAUGUGAAAUCCCUGAGCUUAACUUAGGAAUUGCAUUCGAUACUGGGAAGCUAGAGUAUGGGAGAGGAUGGUAGAAUUCCAGGUGUAGCGGUGAAAUGCGUAGAGAUCUGGAGGAAUACCGAUGGCGAAGGCAGCCAUCUGGCCUAAUACUGACGCUGAGGUACGAAAGCAUGGGGAGCAAACAGGAUUAGAUACCCGCGUAGUCCCUGUCUCUUAUAC
Molecule: ribosomal RNA, 314 nt
Filed under: uncultured bacterium
Lineage: Bacteria
Description: partial 16S ribosomal RNA
Rfam family: Bacterial small subunit ribosomal RNA
Source: RNAcentral